Molecule: non-coding RNA, 74 nt
Organism: Glycine max (soybean)
Lineage: Eukaryota; Viridiplantae; Streptophyta; Magnoliopsida; Fabales; Fabaceae
Source: Rfam
GGUCUAUUAGCUCAGUUGGUUAGAGUGUUAUGCUAAUAACACGAAAGUCACAAGUUCAAUUUUUGCUUGGACCA